GAUGAAGAACGUAGCGAAAUGUGAUACGUAGUGUGAAUUGCAGAAUUCAGUGAAUCAUCGAAUCUUUGAACGCACAUUGCACCUCUCGGUAUUCCGGGAGGUAUGCCUGUUCGAGCGUCAUUUGUACCCUCAAGCUCUGCUUGGUGUUGGGUGUUUGUUCCGCCUCUGUGUGUGAACUCGCCUCAAAACAAUUGGCAGCCGGCGUACUUGUUUCGGAGCGCAGCACAUUUUGCGAUCCAGAUCAACGUACAGCGGCAUCCAAGAAGCCUUAUUUAACGCUCUUGACCUCGGAUCAGGUAGGAAUACCCGCUGAACUUAAGCAUAUCAAUAGCGGAGGA
RNAcentral lists this unclassified non-coding RNA (338 nucleotides) under soil metagenome. RNAcentral describes it as "partial contains 5.8S ribosomal RNA, internal transcribed spacer 2, and large subunit ribosomal RNA". The stretch from base 1 to 120 matches the Rfam family "5.8S ribosomal RNA", at positions 35 to 154 of the family's 154-position model. The record is from RNAcentral.